CAACGUAUACAAUCUGCCUUUUACAGGGGGAUAGCCUUUCGAAAGAGAGAUUAAUACCCCAUAAUACAUGAAAUAGCAUUAUUUUAUGUUGAAAGCUCCGGCGGUAAAAGAUGAGUAUGCGUCUGAUUAGCUAGAUGGUGAGGUAACGGCUCACCAUGGCCACGAUCAGUAGGGGAUCUGAGAGGACUACCCCCCACACGGAUACUGAGACACGGAUCCG
Molecule: ribosomal RNA, 220 nt
Filed under: uncultured bacterium
Lineage: Bacteria
Description: partial 16S ribosomal RNA
Rfam family: Bacterial small subunit ribosomal RNA
Source: RNAcentral